CCUACGGGUGGCAGCAGUAGGGAAUAUUGCUCAAUGGGGGAAACCCUGAAGCAGCAACGCCGCGUGGAGGAUGAAGGUUUUCGGAUUGUAAACUCCUUUUGUUAGAGAAGAGAAUGACGGUAGCUAACGAAUAAGCACCGGCUAACGCCGGGCCAGCAGCCGCGGUAAUACGGAGGGUGCAAGCGUUACUCGGAAUCCCUGGGCGUAAAGGGCGCGGAGGCGGGAUAGCAAGUCAGAUGUGAAAUCCUAUGGCUUAACCAUAGAACUGCCUUUGAAACUGUUAUUCUAGAGUAUGGGAGAGGUAGGUGUAAUUCUUGGUGUCGCGGUCCACUCCGUAGAGAUC
This 343-nucleotide ribosomal RNA is filed under the name uncultured bacterium. RNAcentral's name for it is "partial 16S ribosomal RNA". It matches the Rfam family "Bacterial small subunit ribosomal RNA", at positions 338 to 698 of the family's 1533-position model. The record is from RNAcentral.